CAAUUGGCCUUCUCUGGCUGGGAAAGUUGUCUUGCUAAGCAAGAAGCUUUUAUCAAUCUUGAUAAAAGCUCCUUAUGCUAAGGGGCCAAGAACCCGAUUUCCACCUUCCUGAUAUACAAGGCACACAUUCGUAACUUCUUUUCAUUUGUAGAUGAAACACAAUUAGAACAAACAAGUAGCGUAAGAGAAAAGUUACAUGGCUGGAAUAAAUGUGUAAACAUUACAAAGUUUGGACAUGACUUUACAGGCGGUCUCACAGCGCCACCUAUCUACACUGGUUGGUAUUGCAACAUGUCCUUCAAGUCGUACACAGUGUGAUACUGUGCUGGCCGGAUGUUUGCGGGCAUUUUUAGCAUCUUUCUUGAGAGAGUCAAUACACUCCAAGCAACUCUGAUUUGCAGGGAGCUGGUGUAUCUUAAGAAGAAAAGCGCCGUUAAACGGCUGAAAUCAUCAUUGCAGUUCUGGUCACCACUGGCUGAGCUUGUCCAGGUAGACCCACGGGCCAGAGCUGACAUAUCGUCUUGUUGGGAGACUCGUGCAGUAGUCUCUAACACCACAGCUUAUGAUGGGCACCAACCUCUUCUGUACUGCUGUUCACGGGACAUGGAAAUACAAUGUCAGCAAGGCCACGGCAAGAUGCACUCCCUUGGCGAAGCAAUCUUGAUGCUGUUUCACGGUCCACUCUGCAAUGACGGGAAGGCGUUUCCAAAUCAGAGACGUAGAAGUGACGGCCCAGAAUUGCAUGGAAUGGCGCAGGAUGGUCCACAAGAGACGUUGCCUUGAUGCAGACCACUUGACACAACGAUGAAGAGACCUUAUCAAGUAUCAAGUCUUCCGCGGUGGUCCUCUUCGCCACGCGUUCUCUCCUCCUGUUCAGACGUUUCUCCAAAGCCUGCGCCUUCUCCGAGUCCCUGGGAACGAUGGCGUCCGUGUCGCUGGC
Branchiostoma floridae (Florida lancelet) is the source of this 940-nucleotide long non-coding RNA. RefSeq lists it as uncharacterized. The transcript has 6 exons. The record is from RefSeq and is a predicted model, not a curated record. Lineage: Eukaryota; Metazoa; Chordata; Leptocardii; Amphioxiformes; Branchiostomatidae.